Molecule: transfer RNA, 75 nt
Filed under: Candidatus Komeilibacteria bacterium CG_4_10_14_0_2_um_filter_37_10
Lineage: Bacteria; Candidatus Komeiliibacteriota
Description: tRNA-Arg
Rfam family: tRNA
About the family: Transfer RNA (tRNA) molecules are approximately 80 nucleotides in length.
Source: RNAcentral
GUCCUUGUAGUUCAAUGGAUAGAACGUGGGUUUCCGGUACCUAAAAUGGGGGUUCGAUUCCCUCCAAGGGCACCA